Molecule: long non-coding RNA, 1474 nt
Filed under: Felis catus (domestic cat)
Lineage: Eukaryota; Metazoa; Chordata; Mammalia; Carnivora; Felidae
Description: lncRNA (ENSFCAG00000051482.1)
Source: RNAcentral
AUGAGUUCUCUUACAAAUUAUCAUUAUUUAUUACCAGAUCAGAAAGCUGAUGAAGAGAUUUUGCUUGAGUUUCCACGGGGAAAACUGGAGUCACUGAGAAACCAAAUUCCAGUCUCUUCAAGGUCACUUAAUGGAAAAGCAACAGGAGCCACACUCACUGCAGAAGUAGGACCUACCAAGCUGUGGGAGAUGAACUCCCUGGGCCCUCUGAAGACCUUCUGGUGUGGAAGGAGAGGGAAAAAACCUCAGAUCCUUUGUGCCUCCUCCUACAUUCGGGUAUGUUUGAGAGGACUGCUUUCCCAAACUAGAGUAACUGUCAGUACCACCUUGGCAGGCAGUUCUAGAACUCCAGGGCAUCAAGUCCCUCUUGUUAGCCCCAAAAGUAGCAAAGACUAUAGGUGGUGUAUCUCCAAGCAGGUGUCUAAGUGGAACAGAUAUGUUGAUCCUAACCAAGACAGGUUACAUGAAAGUUAACUGGGCAUAUACUUAAUGUCACACAUGAUUAUGAUUGUGCUGCACAGUAAUUAGGCAUAAAUGGUGAGGGGCUGAUGUAAGUGACUAUAAUUAGUAUUACUUUUACACAGCUAAGCCAAAUUUCAUUUCCCCUUUCUAUACUGCUAAUUUGCCAGUAUCUGUAAUCAGUGUCAGUGUUGAUAAUUUCUUGAUGCCCUAUUCCAUUUAACAGCCACGUCCUGUGAACAUACACAGAUCCAGACACACAGGCAUACAUGGAUACAUACACCAUGAUCACGCACGUGCGCGCGUGGGCGCACACGCACACACACACACACACACACACACACACACACAUAGAGCAAGUCUGGAUCCAAGUCUCUAAAAUGAGCAUUCCUUUGUCCCUGGCUCACUAGCCCCGCUCUGCAGGACAGAUGUUUACUCUUCUCCAUCCAUGAGUCCUUACCCUAUUCCCCUCCUUCCUGGCCCUGGAGCAACAGAGAUCUCUUGAGAAAGGCUUGACCACUGGCUGAGGUCAUCUGCAAGUUCCUUUCUAUUCCCGAAAUUCCAUUUUAAAAAUAGUAAGUGGGGAUGAAAACAUAUAGGUGAGUAGGUUUUAGUGCCUUCAUAAUUAUCACCACAUCAUCACCAGAAAAAAAUGAUAGUGACUGGAUUUUAAUAUACUCCAUAUAUUCUUUAUAUCCAUAAUCCCUUUAAAUUGUGAGGUGGGCACUACUAUCCAUUUCCCAAAUGAGAAUACUGGAACUUACUGAGGUUAAGUAUUUGCCCACAAUCAUGGAGCAAGUAAGUGGGAAGUUAAGAUUCAUAUUCUGGGGAUUUGAACUUUAAAAUCCAUGAUAUGUCACCAACUUGUUCUUCUAGCAAAAUAUAAAUAAUAAGGACAAAUAUUUCCUUCCCCUGAAUCUUAAUUGUUUUAACUAUGUUUGUAGGGCAGAUCUGUCUUACUUUUACCGUGUUGGGAAGGAAGGCCUUGCUCUGCCCCAGCUGGACUUAGAAGCAA